GCUUUCUUCCCUUCCUUCUUCUCACUGCCACCACCAUUUAAACCUUUCCAGGCAAACAGCACUGACCUCUGCUUAGUGCCAAUAGACAACCAUCUUCUCUGGAUUCCAAAAUGGCACUGAUGCUGGGAGAAUAAAGGGGCCACAUUGGUUUCCAAGGAGAUAGGAAAUCUAAGGCAAGACCAGGAGGCCUGCUCUCAUCACUUCUCUGCUUAGGGAAGUUCAUUCAAAGUGGGCAAAUGGAAUUCUGUGUUACAUUUCAUUAGAGGAUCUCAAACUGUCCCUGCCUUUUCUUGGACCUAAGGACAUUCACCCAAGUCUUUUAGCAAGUUACCAUCCAGACUAGAAGCAAAAGACAUCUGUCUUCAUUAUCAAAUGAUGACUGCCCAGUCUAACUUCCCAUGUUCCAACCUGGUUGGCUGAUGUUAAGAAAAUCUUAGUAUUCCAAUGCUGCAGAUUGACACUGGAUGUCACUUAGUGGUAACACAUGAUAUGGCUAUUCUCUCUUAUCUCCAAGUUUUCUAAACACACUUGACCACUAAGAUCAGGACAGCAAUGGGUGUGGCUCAUAGAGAAUGAGAAAAUCAACUGGCCGAGCAGACAGGACAUUUCCUUUCCUCCCUAGCACUCAAAGUAGGUCCAGCCACCAGCUAUGGGCCACAGGGUGCCUUAGUGAACUGGAAGGUCCAGAGUGGGGUUCAUCCCUUUUACCUGAAGUCUUCCUAGAUUUGAGUUCCUGAAAGCAGAUAGGAGGGGCUCUGGAGAAGGCAUAGAGCUCUUCCUCAGUACUUAGAGUUUAGAUUAUAUCCUUGUUCAUAGUAACACUUGCCUACAGAGAGCUACAAUCCCAAAUUUUUAAAGACAAAAAGCUACGCUGCGGGUUCAGGUAGGGACAUCCCCAGGCCAUCUUAAAUGAACCAAUGCUUUAGAGAGAAUGCCAUUUAAUGAGAGUAGGCUAAGUGCUACUCAAGAAGAGAGAAAGCAGGCAGCACCAUGCAAGGAGUCCAUUCUCCAUUUUUUUGUGGUACCAGGGAUUGAACUCAGGGGCACUCAAUCACUGAGCCACAUCCCCAUCCCUAUUGUGUAUCUCAUCUAGAGACAGGCUCUUACUGAGUUGCUUAGUGCCUUGUUUUUGCUGAGGCUGGCUUUGAACUCGCCAUCUUCCUGCCUCAAACUCCCUAGCUGCUGGGAUUACAGGCAUGCGCCAC
RNAcentral lists this long non-coding RNA (1205 nucleotides) under Marmota monax (woodchuck). Lineage: Eukaryota; Metazoa; Chordata; Mammalia; Rodentia; Sciuridae. The record is from RNAcentral.